This 436-nucleotide ribosomal RNA is filed under the name uncultured bacterium. Its description in RNAcentral is "bacterial SSU rRNA". It matches the Rfam family "Bacterial small subunit ribosomal RNA", at positions 343 to 792 of the family's 1533-position model. The record is from RNAcentral.
UGGAGGCAGCAGUGGGGAAUCUUGCGCAAUGGGGGAAACCCUGACGCAGCGACGCCGCGUGUGUGAUGAAGUCUCUAGGGAUGUAAAGCACUGUCCUGCGAGGAAGAAGAAUGUGACGGUACUCGCAGAGAAAGCCCCGGCUAACUACGUGCCAGCAGCCGCGGUAAUACGUAGGGGGCGAGCGUUGUCCGAAUUUACUGGGCGUAAAGCGCGUGUAGGCGGCUCUUUAAGUCAGGUGUGAAAUCCUGCAGCUCAACUGCAGAACUGCACUUGAUACUGGAGGGCUUGAGUGUGGGAGAGGAAAGUGGAAUUCCUGGUGUAGCGGUGAAAUGCGUAGAUAUCAGGAGGAACACCCGUGGCGAAGGCGGCUUUCUGGCCCACCACUGACGCUGAGACGCGAAAGCUAGGGGAGCGAACGGGAUUAGAUACCCCUGUA